This 492-nucleotide ribosomal RNA is filed under the name uncultured bacterium. RNAcentral describes it as "partial 16S ribosomal RNA". It matches the Rfam family "Bacterial small subunit ribosomal RNA", at positions 29 to 507 of the family's 1533-position model. The record is from RNAcentral.
AGUGAACGCUGGCGGUAGGCCUAACACAUGCAAGUCGAACGGCAGCACAGUAAGAGCUUGCUCUUACGGGUGGCGAGUGGCGGACGGGUGAGGAAUACAUCGGAAUCUACUUUUUCGUGGGGGAUAACGUAGGGAAACUUACGCUAAUACCGCAUACGACCUACGGGUGAAAGCAGGGGAUCUUCGGACCUUGCGCGAUUGAAUUAGCCGAUGUCGGAUUAGCUAGUUGGCGGGGUAAAGGCCCACCAAGGCGACGAUCCGUAGCUGGUCUGAGAGGAUGAUCAGCCACACUGGAACUGAGACACGGUCCAGACUCCUACGGGAGGCAGCAGUGGGGAAUAUUGGACAAUGGGCGCAAGCCUGAUCCAGCCAUACCGCGUGGGUGAAGAAGGCCUUCGGGUUGUAAAGCCCUUUUGUUGGGAAAGAAAAGCAGCAGGUUAAUACCCCGCUGUUCUGACGGUACCCAAAGAAUAAGCACCGGCUAACUUCGCG